GUAGAAAUGAAUAUAAUUUGGUCUCUGUCAUGGAGGAACUGAGUCUAGGGGGGUGGACCCUCGUAGAUAUGGAUAACUGGAAAACAAAAGCUUAAAUAAUAAACUUGAGAAAGGCAUAGACACAUGAGUGGAGGCUUGAGUCAGCAGAGGAAAUCCGGAAACAUUGCAGAGAGGAAGUGGCACUGCGGCUGAGCCUUGAAGGAGACAGCGAUCUCUACAGAUGGGAGCUGGUGGAGUGGGGCUGGCAUCCUGGAGGAGGGGCAGUGAGAGUCCACGCACCAGAGCAGAUGGCCUGCUCCACUCCCAAAUGACUGGGAAGGAACGUAAGCUUGAAGACGAGGUUGUGAAAUUUCCAGUUUUGCAGGUUGUACUUGCUGACCCACUAAGGAAAUGACCAUGGGACUGUAACAAAGCGAACAAAACCUCGGCUUCAUCUUCUCCUUCGUUUAAGCAGCUCCUGUACAUUGAAGGAGCUGAGAUGAGGCAGCGAAAGAUGGAGGGAGAGAGGAAAGGAGAGGGAGACUGAGGAGAGUGGGUUAUCAAGACCAAAAGAAGAUGAUCAUUUCCCGAGUGGAACCUGCCUUGCAAUAGAUUCAUCUCUUGUGCUCCUGCCCUAAAUUGAAAUCUUCGUCCAUUUGUGUUUUGCAUGGAUAGGGAGGUGUGGGACAUGCUAUAUUUGGUAGUUUUCUGGCAGAUACAAUUUCCUGUUUCACUGUGUUUUAAAAUAAAACUAAAUAUACAAAUGUUUUCUCCAGGGUAUUGGGCUGUUUUAGGCUGUGCACUCUUGGUGGGCAAGGCCUGUGCCGUGGUUAGCUAAUAGUUCCCUGCUGGAUGAAGUUAAGCAAUGGCUCAUUUGUCAGGUGUCUCAGCAGUAAAAUUUCCAGAUAAACGCAAUCUACUCCAGUAAAUGCUAAAACUCCUUAAAAAAAAAAA
Molecule: long non-coding RNA, 933 nt
Organism: Piliocolobus tephrosceles (Ugandan red Colobus)
Lineage: Eukaryota; Metazoa; Chordata; Mammalia; Primates; Cercopithecidae
Exons: 3
Source: RefSeq, a predicted model, not a curated record